AACGGAUAAAAGCUACCCUGGGGAUAACAGGCUUAUCUCCCCCAAGAGUCCACAUCGACGGGGAGGUUUGGCACCUCGAUGUCGGCUCAUCACAUCCUGGGGCGGUAGUAGGUCCCAAGGGUUGGGCUGUUCGCCCAUUAAAGUGGUACGCGAGCUGGGUUCAGAACGUCGUGAGACAGUUCGGUCCCUAUCCGUCGCAGGCGUAGGAAA
Molecule: ribosomal RNA, 210 nt
Filed under: Clostridioides difficile
Lineage: Bacteria; Bacillati; Bacillota; Clostridia; Peptostreptococcales; Peptostreptococcaceae
Description: partial 23S ribosomal RNA
Rfam family: Bacterial large subunit ribosomal RNA
Source: RNAcentral